RNAcentral lists this ribosomal RNA (482 nucleotides) under uncultured bacterium. RNAcentral's name for it is "partial 16S ribosomal RNA". It matches the Rfam family "Bacterial small subunit ribosomal RNA", at positions 30 to 507 of the family's 1533-position model. The record is from RNAcentral.
AUUGAACGCUGGCGGCAUGCCUUACACAUGCAAGUCGAACGGUAACAGGUCUUCGGAUGCUGACGAGUGGCGAACGGGUGAGUAAUACAUCGGAACGUGCCCGAUCGUGGGGGAUAACGAGGCGAAAGUUUUGCUAAUACCGCAUACGAUCUACGGAUGAAAGCGGGGGAUCUUCGGACCUCGCGCGGACGGAGCGGCCGAUGGCAGAUUAGGUAGUUGGUGGGAUAAAAGCUUACCAAGCCGACGAUCUGUAGCUGGUCUGAGAGGAUGAUCAGCCACACUGGGACUGAGACACGGCCCAGACUCCUACGGGAGGCAGCAGUGGGGAAUUUUGGACAAUGGGCGAAAGCCUGAUCCAGCCAUGCCGCGUGCAGGAUGAAGGCCUUCGGGUUGUAAACUGCUUUUGUACGGAACGAAAAGCCUCUUUCUAAUAAAGAGGGGUCAUGACGGUACCGUAAGAAUAAGCACCGGCUAACUACGUG